GAUGAACGCUGGCGGCGUGCCUAAUACAUGCAAGUCGAGCGAACAGACGAGGAGCUUGCUCCUCUGACGUUAGCGGCGGACGGGUGAGUAACACGUGGAUAACCUACCUAUAAGACUGGGAUAACUUCGGGAAACCGGAGCUAAUACCGGAUAAUAUAUUGAACCGCAUGGUUCAAUAGUGAAAGACGGUUUUGCUGUCACUUAUAGAUGGAUCCGCGCCGCAUUAGCUAGUUGGUAAGGUAACGGCUUACCAAGGCAACGAUGCGUAGCCGACCUGAGAGGGUGAUCGGCCACACUGGAACUGAGACACGGUCCAGACUCCUACGGGAGGCAGCAGUAGGGAAUCUUCCGCAAUGGGCGAAAGCCUGACGGAGCAACGCCGCGUGAGUGAUGAAGGUCUUCGGAUCGUAAAGCUCUGUUAUUAGGGAAGAACAAAUGUGUAAGUAACUAUGCACGUCUUGACGGUACCUAAUCAGAAAGCCACGGCUAACUACGUG
Molecule: ribosomal RNA, 497 nt
Filed under: uncultured bacterium
Lineage: Bacteria
Description: partial 16S ribosomal RNA
Rfam family: Bacterial small subunit ribosomal RNA
Source: RNAcentral